UACGGAGGAUCCAAGCGUUAUCCGGAAUUACUGGGCGUAAAGAGUUGCGUAGGUGGCAUAGUAAGCGAAUAGUGAAAUCGUGUGGCUCAACCAUACACCCAUUAUUUGAACUGCUAAGCUAGAGUAUGAGAGAGGUAGAUGGAAUUCCCAGUGUAGGAGUGAAAUCCGUAGAUAUUGGGAGGAACACCGAUGGCGUAGGCAGUCUACUGGCUCAUUACUGACACUAAGGCACGAAAGCGUGGGGAGCAAACGGG
This 254-nucleotide ribosomal RNA is filed under the name uncultured bacterium. Its description in RNAcentral is "partial 16S ribosomal RNA". It matches the Rfam family "Bacterial small subunit ribosomal RNA", at positions 524 to 776 of the family's 1533-position model. The record is from RNAcentral.